Molecule: ribosomal RNA, 889 nt
Filed under: uncultured Methanosaeta sp.
Lineage: Archaea; Methanobacteriati; Methanobacteriota; Methanomicrobia; Methanotrichales; Methanotrichaceae
Description: bacterial SSU rRNA
Rfam family: Archaeal small subunit ribosomal RNA
Source: RNAcentral
GUCACCACGUGGAUAACCUGCCCUUGAGACGGGGAUAAACCCGGGAAAACUGGGUAUAAUACCCGAUAGAUCUCGGCUGCUGGAAUGCACCGAGUUCUAAAGCUCCGGCGCUCAAGGAUGGAUCUGCGGCCUAUCAGGUAGUAGUGGGUGUAGCGUACCUACUAGCCUACGACGGGUACGGGUUGUGAGAGCAAGAGCCCGGAGAUGGAUUCUGAGACACGAAUCCAGGCCCUACGGGGUGCAGCAGGCGCGAAAACUUUACAAUGCUGGAAACAGCGAUAAGGGGACCUCGAGUGCCAGGUUACAAAUCUGGCUGUCGUGAUGCCUAAAAAGCAUUGCAUAGCAAGGGCCGGGCAAGACCGGUGCCAGCCGCCGCGGUAACACCGGCGGCUCGAGUGGUAACCGUUAUUAUUGGGUCUAAAGGGUCUGUAGCCGGCCGGAUAAGUCUCUUGGGAAAUCUGGCAGCUUAACUGUCAGGCUUUCAGGAGAUACUGUCUGGCUCGAGGCCGGGAGAGGUGAGAGGUACUUCAGGGGUAGGGGUGAAAUCUUGUAAUCCUUGAAGGACCACCAGUGGCGAAGGCGUCUCACCAGAACGGACCUGACGGCAAGGGACGAAAGCUAGGGGCACGAACCGGAUUAGAUGCCCGGGUAGUCCUAGCCGUAAACGAUACUCGCUAGGUGUCGGCCACGGUGCGACCGUUGUCGGUGCCGUAGGGAAGCCGUGAAGCGAGCCACCUGGGAAGUACGGCCGCAAGGCUGAAACUUAAAGGAAUUGGCGGGGGAGCACCACAACGGGUGGAGCUUGCGGUUUAAUUGGAUUCAACGCCGGAAAUCUUACCGGGACCGACAGCAAUAUGAAGGCCAGGCUGAAGACUUUGCCGGAUUAGCU